ACAGAGGUGGCGAGCGUUGUUCGGAAUCACUGGGCUUAAAGCGUGUGUAGGCGGACCGGUAAAUGUCUUGUGAAAUCCCCCGGCUUAACCGGGGAAUUGUUGGGCAGACUGCCGGUCUUGAGGUAGGCAGGGGUGCUUGGAACUCUUGGUGGAGCGGUGAAAUGCGUAGAUAUCAAGAGGAACGCCUGUGGUGAAAACGGAGCACUGGACCUAUUCUGACGCUGAGACACGAAAGCGUGGGGAGCGAACGGGAUUAGAUACCCCGGUAGUCCACGCUGUAAACGAUGCCUACUAGGUGUUGGAAACUCUGACGUUUUCAAGACCGAAGCAAAAGUGUUAAGUAGGCCGCCUGGGGAGUACGGUCGCAAGGCUA
Molecule: ribosomal RNA, 373 nt
Filed under: uncultured bacterium
Lineage: Bacteria
Description: bacterial SSU rRNA
Rfam family: Bacterial small subunit ribosomal RNA
Source: RNAcentral